Molecule: transfer RNA, 84 nt
Filed under: Pedobacter sp.
Lineage: Bacteria; Pseudomonadati; Bacteroidota; Sphingobacteriia; Sphingobacteriales; Sphingobacteriaceae
Description: tRNA-Met
Rfam family: tRNA
About the family: Transfer RNA (tRNA) molecules are approximately 80 nucleotides in length.
Source: RNAcentral
GCAUCCGUGGCAGAGUGGCUGAUAGCAGCGGACUCAUAAUCCGCCCCUAAUUAGGCAGCGCUGGUUCGAAUCCAGCCGGAUGCA